AAAUAUCAAAAUUGUGCAUAAUUCCUUUUAUAAAAAUCUUUAGAACGAUUUGUAAUUACUUACCCUUUCCAGCCAUAUUUUCAUCCACUUUCAAUGUCGGUAAACAGGUAAAUUGAUAGCUGUGCGCGAUCCCACAAUGCAAUAUUAAAAGGCAAAAACAACCGUGAUUGUGCAAAUGUAAACCCCAGGUAUGAUUAAAGCUUUAUAGGGACCAUCUCAAAAUCAAAAUAAAUUGCACGAAAGUGAAAGAACAAUCUUGGCAAAAACAAUCUUUUCAUAGCGAAAACAGGUUGAUUAGAUAAAAAGAUUCUUAUUCAUAAAAAUAUGUCGUAAAUUCAACGC
Molecule: long non-coding RNA, 342 nt
Filed under: Mytilus galloprovincialis (Mediterranean mussel)
Lineage: Eukaryota; Metazoa; Mollusca; Bivalvia; Mytilida; Mytilidae
Source: RNAcentral